Molecule: non-coding RNA, 24 nt
Filed under: Arabidopsis thaliana (thale cress)
Lineage: Eukaryota; Viridiplantae; Streptophyta; Magnoliopsida; Brassicales; Brassicaceae
Source: RNAcentral
AUCCGGCGACGGCGACGGUGGUUG